CUUGUCUGCAAGACUUUUUUGGUGAUGAUGAUGUUUUUAUUGCUUGUGGACCUGAAAAAUUCCGUUAUGCCCAAGAUGACUUCGUCCUGGAUCACAGUGAAUGUCGUGUCUUGAAGUCAUCUUAUUCUCGCUCCUCAGCUGUUAAAUAUUCUGGAUCUAAAAGUCCUGGGCCCUCCCGACGCAGCAAAUCACCAGCUUCAGUAAAGAGGGGUGGCCACCACUCCAGUGCCUGCUCUGCGGCCAGAUCCCCAGUUAACGGAACUCCCAGCAGCCAGCUGUCUACUCCUAAAUCAACAAAAUCCUCUAGCUCUUCUCCAACUAGCCCAGGAAGUUUCAGAGGA
Molecule: non-coding RNA, 341 nt
Organism: Leptonychotes weddellii (Weddell seal)
Lineage: Eukaryota; Metazoa; Chordata; Mammalia; Carnivora; Phocidae
Source: RefSeq, a predicted model, not a curated record